GACGAACGCUGGCGGCGUGCUUAACACAUGCAAGUCGAGCGGUAAGGCCCUUUCGGGGGUACACGAGCGGCGAACGGGUGAGUAACACGUGGGUGACCUGCCCUCAGCUCUGGGAUAAGCCUGGGAAACCGGGUCUAAUACCGGAUAUGACUCCAUGACGCAUGUUGUGGGGUGGAAAGCCUUGUGCGGCUGAGGAUGGGCCCGCGGCCUAUCAGCUUGUUGGUGGGGUGANGGCCUACCAAGGCGACGACGGGUAGCCGGCCUGAGAGGGCGACCGGCCACACUGGGACUGAGACACGGCCCAGACUCCUACGGGAGGCAGCAGUGGGGAAUCUUGCGCAAUGGGCGAAAGACCUGACGCAGCGACGCCGCGUGAGGGAUGACGGCCUCGGUUGUAAC
This 399-nucleotide ribosomal RNA is filed under the name uncultured bacterium. RNAcentral describes it as "bacterial SSU rRNA". It matches the Rfam family "Bacterial small subunit ribosomal RNA", at positions 28 to 429 of the family's 1533-position model. The record is from RNAcentral.